GCUCACCAUGUGCACUUCUUGCACUUGUCAGUCGCACUCUGCAAGAAGCUGCAGACCACUUGGAGUUGCCCUACAAUGGCUGCAUGCACACUUUUUAAAUCUAUCUCAUUUUUUUUCAAAAUUUCCACCUUUUCGGGGGGACCUGAAAAGCGGACUUGAGCUUUUAUUUUUAUUUUUUGGGGUGGGACGUACUGAUUCACUGAAGAGGAGGAGCGGGAGUAGUCAUGUUGGAGUGCAAGAGAAUGCCAAAGACAUCAGCCCGAAAGUUGGCUUCUGAAGCCACAAGGCUAGCAGUGAUGAUGAGGAGCUCAUCCGUCAGCCUGCAGAUGGAAACACGGGUGGGUGGUUGCAAGGCUGGAUGAAUGCGUGUAGAUGACUGAACUCCGAGACCCCAGUGCAGCUCAUCAUCAUUGCCAUGGGCUCUUGCUUCUCUCCUUCUGUGGCCCGCACCUCCAUCCAGGGGUCCAGCUCAGCCCAUGAAGCCUGAGCAGGAAGCUCGUGAGUGGGCAGGGAAGGAUGAAGAAGGUCCCUGAAGGCUAAAAGCACCUCUGCGGGAGAAAUCAAUAUGAAGCAUGCUCGCCUCGAAGUAGGGUUUCCUCUGCUUCGCUGUGGCCUGCGGGCCCGUGCGGCCCCUCUCAGCUGGACUGGACCACUUGGCUGUGUGUGGUUUUGCCGAGGGGGAUUUCUGCCCCUCUACAACCCCAACCCAAAUGAUUCCAAUACAGUGAAUGCUGAAGCACUGCCAAGAGGGAAAGUUUUUUUUCUUCAUCUUUUUUCCCUUGCAAACGACUGACAUCUUCCCCACCUUCUUUCAAAACCAUGAUGGGACUUUUGACUUCUUUCCAUCCCCAGCUGUCAAUUUAUGCAACCAUUUGACAAAAAGACUGAUAUUUAUUUUUUUCCCCUCCAUUCUUGGUUUGAUGUCACCAUUGUGAGCGAAUAUGCGUUCAAACCAGAGACAUGUUUUUUCCCCCCUCCUCAAAAUGUGUUGUUCAAUACCACAAAAUGGACUGAAACAGUAAAGAGGACGACCACAGAGAUGGUGUAACUUCCUCUCAUUCCAAUGGACGUGAUACCGGAAAACAACAAGGAUUCCUAGUUAAGGUUGUGGCUGCAUUACAGUGUUAUCCUGCUGUUUUGAAUAAAGAACAUAAAUAUGUCUGUGUUGUGUGUACAUUUUAAAAUACACUGCAAAUAAUCUAGGUGUGUCUUGCACUGUUUUUACGGCAAAUAAAAUGUGAUAAGUGUCAA
Molecule: long non-coding RNA, 1251 nt
Organism: Hippocampus comes (tiger tail seahorse)
Lineage: Eukaryota; Metazoa; Chordata; Actinopteri; Syngnathiformes; Syngnathidae
Exons: 4
Source: RefSeq, a predicted model, not a curated record